RNAcentral lists this ribosomal RNA (492 nucleotides) under uncultured bacterium. RNAcentral describes it as "partial 16S ribosomal RNA". It matches the Rfam family "Bacterial small subunit ribosomal RNA", at positions 29 to 507 of the family's 1533-position model. The record is from RNAcentral.
AGUGAACGCUGGCGGUAGGCCUAACACGUGCAAGUCGAACGGCAGCACAGUAAGAGCUUGCUCUUACGGGUGGCGAGUGGCGGACGGGUGAGGAAUACAUCGGAAUCUACUUUUUCGUGGGGGAUAACGUAGGGAAACUUACGCUAAUACCGCAUACGACCUACGGGUGAAGGCAGGGGAUCUUCGGACCUUGCGCGAUUGAAUGAGCCGAUGUCGGAUUAGCUAGUUGGCGGGGUAAAGGCCCACCAAGGCGACGAUCCGUAGCUGGUCUGAGAGGAUGAUCAGCCACACUGGAACUGAGACACGGUCCAGACUCCUACGGGAGGCAGCAGUGGGGAAUAUUGGACAAUGGGCGCAAGCCUGAUCCAGCCAUACCGCGUGGGUGAAGAAGGCCUUCGGGUUGUAAAGCCCUUUUGCUGGGAAAGAAAAGCAGCAGGUUAAUACCCCGCUGUUCUGACGGUACCCAAAGAAUAAGCACCGGCUAACUUCGUG